AUCUCUGCGUGACUUCCGCCAGCGUUUAGAGCGUUUUCGGGGUCCGAGUUGAAGAGCAAAACCAAGUGAAGGAAACUUCACUAAGUUCAGGGUGACAAGGGAGGAAGUACAGAGACUGCACUUUAAAUUCUGGAUGACAGACCUAUCAGGACUGAGUGGACCUUUGAGUGACAAGAUGGGGGUGUUCCAAAGAGACCAUGGCAGCCUGCAGCUAGGACUUUAAUAAACAGAGCGCUUAAAAAGCACUGUCUGGAUAUCUUCAGAGGGAAAAAGGAGAAAGUUAACUGAAUUGGUGACACUUCGGGUCUCUCACAGAGGAAGAUUAGAUGAAGGUGACCUUCCCCUUCGCCAAGCAGAAUCUCCCAUGAGACUCAUGAAUCCUCUUGAGGCCAAUUACAGCUAUCACUUGUUAACUGUUGGAGUACUUUCAGUCUUAAAAGAGCUGCUAGAAAAUUAAGGCUGCAACAUGAAAGAAGAACAAAAUGGUCAGGCAUAUCACACGUUUUUAUCAAAUGAUUUGGUUUAGGACUUGAUAACCUGGUUAGUACUUGAGCACUGAAAGAUAUUUUGAAUUUAAAGUAAGAUGGAGAAAGUGAUGGAAGCUAAAUCACAGAGGAUAGAAAUACGAUCAAUCGUAUUCAGAACAGAAACAUCUUGGGCUCAAUGUCUGGGAACAAUGAGAAGAUUAGGCUGCUUUAGAACUUAGCUCUCAUUUGUUUUGGUAACCUCCACCUGCAAGAGGACACUCUUCCGUCCCAGUGAGACUGAGGUGAGAAUCACAAGACCACUGCCCUCUAUCUCAUCUUUUCUCCAAGCCUUAGACCAUCAUGGGAUUCACUAACAUCAUUCACACUUCAGGAGUGAUAUAUCAGAGUGAGCCCCUCUUUUCUGCUCAUCUUUCUGCCUCUCUAGAAAAGAGAUAAUUUCACUGUUUACCUCGGGAAACAUGAAAGUUAAUGAUAAAUGUAAAUGAUAGAUGAGGCAAGCAUUGAAAGCUAUAAAGUUGAAAGUAGGACCUAAUACCCUGUAGUAAUGUGUACUCCUUUUUAAAAGAAAACACACAAGUCAUUUAAGAAAGGUUAAUUUCUGCUACCUUUCCAAAAUAUUCUCAGAAUAAUUGGAGAGAAAAAUUGUGACAAAACACUGGGGGCACCAUUGGUGAAAGAAAACUGUAUAUUCUUGUCUUUCAGUCAGGAAAGAAUAAUAUCUACUUGAUCGAAAUGAUUUUUUUCCUCAGAAACUGUGGUACUGGCUACUAGAAAACAGAGAAUUUAAACUAUUAUUUCUCAGAAUGUUUUAUCUCCAUGACCCAAAGAUGGUUUCCCUCCAUGAGAAAAUAUCCCAGUGUUUGUUUUCGAGUUGUCAUCAACACAAAGCAGCAGCACGUUCACAUAUAAUGUGUUUCCAGCUUUUCAAAGCAUUUUCACUUGUUUCUCAAUUGUUUAUUACAAUAAUAACCCUGUGUUGACAUUAUUAUCUUCAUUUCACAAAUGAGGCAGCUCAGAUUCAGACAUUAAGGGACCUUCACAAUAUAUUUAGCUUACGGUGGCAGAACGAAGGCAAAACCAAAAGUCCUUGCCAAAGACUACCUCCAUUUGUCUUCAAUGGACUCCCUGAGUUUUUCAUUGUUGCUCUUUUGUGGUAUGGCUGAAGCCCUCAAAAUUUGGAAAAGACAAGCAAGUACAAGAUAGGCACUUAGAUUGUCAUUCCUCAACUGGCUUCUCUACAGCCUUUUCCUCCCAAUAUAUAAAAUACAGCAAUAAAGAACAGAAGACUAACAUUUUAAACACUGAACUGUUGCUCAAAUUUACUCCUCCUGUAUAAUAGUAUAAUUUGUUCUUAUAAGGUUGUAAAACUGCACUGCAUACUUAAAUUGCAUGUUUCACAUGUCUAUACUAUUCAGCUCCUUUUCUCAUCUCUGCAGUGCCUACCCCCAACAUACUACUGGCUUAACAAUUCCCAUGAAACAGUGUUUGAAUUUAAGAGGCAGGGCUGUGAGAAACACAAAUGGCCAUCCUCUCAUGUAUGUGCUUCUAUCACAGAAAUUUGAUUGUUCUCUAAAGGCAAGCAUGGAUUUUAUUUUAUUUCCAGCAUCUUCAAGGUAAUUAUCUACUUAACCUGCAUAGUAGCAGUUGUUGAGACUCAGUAAACCUCAAAAUGUAGCAUUUUGGUAUGCUAAUUAUUUCAAACUGAGGGCACUUGGGAAACAGCAAAUACAAGAAAGGGCUCUCUCUGAACUCCCUUAAGUGGCUGAAGAUAGAGCCUCCAAAAAGAAACACAAUUGUCAUAGGUAUCCUCCCUGGGAAUCUCAUCAGUGAAGGAAGAUUAACUCACAGGAGACACCACACUCCAGAAAGACUUUGUCACAAACUAUCCAUUACCUCUUCUUCUGAUGAGAUCCUUGGAGACAACUUUUAUUACCUGAGAGAUGUUAUCUGUAUAACAAGACAACCUUUGUUCUCCAUGCAUUCCCUCCUCUUACUCCCCUGCAACUUGUAUAGACACCACCCCCGAUAAACCACCAACCCCUACUCCUUUCUUUAGCUCAGGAUGCUAUAAAAACUUCUAUCAUCUGGCCCCUCUUCAAGUCCUCUACUUUGUGGGACUCCUGUGUGUAAUUAAAAUAGCUUUUCUCCUACUAAA
This 2643-nucleotide long non-coding RNA is filed under the name Homo sapiens (human). Its description in RNAcentral is "uncharacterized LOC127814295, transcript variant 16 (LOC127814295)". The record is from RNAcentral. Lineage: Eukaryota; Metazoa; Chordata; Mammalia; Primates; Hominidae.